This 373-nucleotide transfer-messenger RNA is filed under the name pig gut metagenome. It matches the Rfam family "transfer-messenger RNA". Rfam says of the family: Bacterial tmRNA, also known as 10Sa RNA or SsrA, is named for its dual tRNA and mRNA-like properties. The record is from RNAcentral.
GGGGGCGUAAAGGUUUCGACGGGGAUCUUGCAGUAUGAUAAGCGAGUAGAGGCCGCACAACCUCUUUAAAAGGUGCAACCUAAAUAUAAACGCUAGAAAUAGUAUUACAGUAAGCCGUAACAACGGUUUACAGCUUCAGGCAGCCUAAGCUCCCUGACCGUUCCGCUUAAGACUACCACGACUUAUUCGGGGCGUUGAUUUAGUGGUGAACGACCGGAAUGAUUGCCUUUGCAUUUCGGCUGUACAAAAAGGCUACCAGUUAUGUCAGCGUGUUUAUCCGCGGAUUUAACCGGGAAUUCAAAUGAUAAACUACACUCGUAGAAAGUCAUAUGAAUGGGUUUUCGGACACGGGUUCAAUUCCCGUCGCCUCCAU